UGAGUGGGCUGCAGCGGAGGUGGGACCGGCAUCAGAAAUUGAAAAACAGUCUGAGAUGUGCCAAAAAUGUGAAGUGAAGGAUCCAAACAUUUUUGUUUUCAUAAAAUAUGUUUACAUGUUCAUCGCUAGUUGUUUUACUUCACCCGUGGGCUUUGAACGGGGCACCUGGCUCAUCUCCGGGAGGAACCCCUGCUCAAAAAUACUUUAAUCUGCGGCCGAACGCUUGUGUGGCCGGGUGAAGAGGGAUGUAGCUACCGUAGCAUAGCCCAUAUAAUAUCAGAACAGUGUGACGGAUGCAUAUAACCAUCCAGGAAGGAAGAUCCUUGCCGGAUUAAAAAGAGACACCACAUGCUGCAAGGACGUCCACUGCCGGUUCUGUCACUCAACGUGUUUCACCCAAAAAGGUUGAGCAAGAGCACAGCCCAUUUAGAGGGGCAUUUCAACCAUGCAGUUUACCAUGAAGGAUGAAGGUGGAUGGAGUGAUGUGGGGGGUGAUGGAUGUCGGUCUGGAUGUGGUGUUGGGAGGGGUUAUUGUCAAUUGUUUCUUUUUGGUUAACAUUCAAAAAAUAAUAAUGUGUAUAUAUAUAAUCUUGAAUCUGCCCCCAGAGUCGUCCGUGUCUUGCCUCUCCAAAAUGACACAUUUCAGGUUGAGAUCUGGUGACUGCAAAAGCCACAGCAAAUACAAUAGAAUAUAAAAAUAUAUUUUUCCUGAGGGAACCUUGUGGCGUCAGACACAUACAGCAUUUUGUAUGCGUACAGGCAUGUACUGUAUUUACAAGAUGAUCCGCUCUACCGAGAUGCGGUCAAUGUUGGCAGCCAUGUCCAAUACAACAAAGUUCAUCCCAGCAUGCCCAUCCACACCAAAGGAAACGUCCUCAAGCAGCCCAUCCAUCCUGCCGUGGAGGUUCAACACCAGCAGCAGAACAGAAGGAAGCGGUGGAUCCUCUCCGCAGCUCCAUCCACCCCACAUCACCCAAAGACACGUUUCCUUACAAUGAUGAAAUGAAAUCCAAUGCAAUAUAAUAGAUUAGAGUUAGCAGGUCUUCGGGAGCUUAUUACUGAUGUUAUGAGGACGAUGUUAUGUUGACUUUCUCUCUUUGGUGAAGUUAAGCCCCUCAGUGCUCAUGUUGCAGGGUUUACAUUGGUUCUCUGUAGUCCCGGACAAUGAUUUGAGGCCUCUCCAGGCAUCACACGUCUGUCCACAAUUUUCCACCUUUUCUUUACACCAUUUAGCUUCCUUAAUUUGCUUACUUCAUUUACCUUGAAUCAAAUUACACUGAAUCUUGACACCUAUGGACUAUGUACAUUUUUCUCUACUGUAAUGUUAUUUUAAG
Molecule: long non-coding RNA, 1334 nt
Organism: Esox lucius (northern pike)
Lineage: Eukaryota; Metazoa; Chordata; Actinopteri; Esociformes; Esocidae
Exons: 3
Source: RefSeq, a predicted model, not a curated record